GAUGUGAUCGAGUGGUGUCAGAAG
Molecule: non-coding RNA, 24 nt
Filed under: Arabidopsis thaliana (thale cress)
Lineage: Eukaryota; Viridiplantae; Streptophyta; Magnoliopsida; Brassicales; Brassicaceae
Source: RNAcentral